AUGUCUCUUAAGGUAAAAAUGGAAAACGUACAGCAAAGUUCCAAUGGGUCUAGUUUCAAUGAUUAUAACGACGUCAAUUUGACUAUACGGAUUCUAUUUCAUGGCCGAGAAGUCGGAAAUGUGAUUGGUAAAGGAGGUGAAACUGUAAAAAAUAUAAGAGACCAGUCUGGUGCUAGAGUUUUAAUCUCUGAUGGUUCAACUCCAGAGCGUAUUGUUACCAUUACUGGAACUACAAAUGCAAUUUGUAAAGCUACUGAACUUAUUGGACUUAAAGUUGAAGAAUUUUUUGAGAGACAAAAUGGUGAUUGGAAUGGCCCAAAAGCACCUUUGACUUUUAAGUUAAUUGUACCAGCAUCUCAAUGUGGUUUCAUAAUUGGAAAAGGUGGAUGUAAAAUAAAAGAAAUUAGAGAAUCAAGUGGAGCUGCCAUACAAGUAGCAUCAGAUAUGUUACCCAAUUCAACUGAGCGUCUAGUUUCAAUUACUGGUACUACGGGCACAAUAUCUCAAUGUGUUUAUCAAGUGUGCAAUGUACUUUUAGAUUCUCCACCACGUAGUGCAACAAUUCCUUAUGAUCCUCGCAGUAAAACUUCAGGAUUUGCUAGUAGUGCAGUUGGUAAUGACUUUGGGAGACAACGCACUAAUCCUUUAGCCAGUCUAGCAGCUCUUGGGUUAGGAACUGCAUCGACUGGAGGUAUUAAUCCAGCUGCCUUAGCUGCAUUAGCUGGAAGUCAGUUGAGAACAGGUAAUCGUCAAAACCGAAAUGGUGGUGGGGAACAUAAAAAUCAAAAUUCUAAUUCAAACACUGAGACAAUAUCAAUGACUGUACCUAAUGACUUAAUCGGAUGUGUCAUUGGUAGAAGAGGAAGUAAAAUUGCAGAAAUUCGACAAAUAAGUGGUGCUUUAGUACAUAUAGCUAAAGGUGAAGGAACUCAUGAAAAUGGUGAGAAUGAAGAUCGGCAUAUAACAAUUACAGGAAACAAAGAUUCUAUUUCAGUUGCCAAGUACUUAAUUGAAAUGAGAAAUAUUGGUCGAACCGUUGAUGUGUUUUGAAUGUAUUGAUAUUUGAUAUAUUUUGGUUGAUAUAUUCACUAUCUUUAGCCGUCUAUUACUAGACGUUAAUAGAGCUAUUUUGAACUGGUGGUUUAUUUAACACUGACAAUCAUUUAAGGAGGAUGUUGCCAUGAUAUUAGAAAACUGGAGAAAUUUGCCAAAUUAUGACUUCCAUCUAUAAAUAAUUCAUCAUCUAAUUAUUAACAAAGAAGAAAAUUUCAGUUAUCCAUAUUUAAUGAACAAUGUGCUUAUAAAUUCAUUUGAACGAUUUUUAUGAAGUUGUAUGCUAACAACAUGCUUUAAUUCUUGAAAUUUUACCAAUUGUAAAAAUGACAACAAAUUAAGUAUUUGUGUACUUAACUAUUUUUAAGGAUAUUGA
Molecule: unclassified non-coding RNA, 1429 nt
Filed under: Rhopalosiphum maidis (corn leaf aphid)
Lineage: Eukaryota; Metazoa; Arthropoda; Insecta; Hemiptera; Aphididae
Description: poly(rC)-binding protein 3-like, transcript variant X5
Source: RNAcentral